Nelumbo nucifera (sacred lotus) is the source of this 282-nucleotide non-coding RNA. NCBI's taxonomy places the organism in Eukaryota, Viridiplantae, Streptophyta, Magnoliopsida, Proteales, Nelumbonaceae. The record is from RefSeq and is a predicted model, not a curated record.
GCACUUAUAUAUUCAAGGUGGAAUCUAGAGAAGGUCCGCUUUCUCUGCUAUCGAGAGCAACAUGGCUAUGCAGAUUUGGGUUUGUCCCUUAUCGGUGAAGUUUUACUUUCAGUUCCACAAGGUAGAUCAGCAGAAAAUGGGCUGGAGAGACCAUCAGUCUAUACCUAAUGCCGUGGGAUGGGAACUAAACAGAGGCAAGAAGAUUUCCAGGUGUAUAAGGCUUGCUGAAUCCAUGGAUCCAAUGAGGUUGGCCAUUUCUGCAGCAGAUCAGAAUUUAAAACU